CGGCGGGGCUUCUGCGCAGCUCCAAAGUCCAGCCAGAUGUGGGGGGCGAGCGCCAUCACAGAGCCCUCCACCUGGCCCUCUGGCCCAAACCAGCGCGUUCUGCAGUGGCGACUGGUCACGGAGGGGCAGAGCUCAGCUUCCUUUUCCACGCUUCUCACAGUUUCCCGGGCGCAGAUUUGCACAUGGUUACAGCAAUGAGCUGAAGCAGGGCCAGUCACACAACCCUCCAGCCCCCACUGCUUUCCCAGGAGGAGGUAGAAGUGGACGUGUGUGUCUCCCGGAUGCAGCCGGCGGGAUGCAGUUGGUGCUUUAGAUACGAUCAAAUGUCUCUAAAAUAAGCAUCUGUAGAGAAAAUGAAAGCUCCUGUGGCUGGGAUUCUCACCUGACCCUGGUCGGCUUGCUCCACGCACACCUGUGGGCAAUACG
Molecule: non-coding RNA, 426 nt
Organism: Manis javanica (Malayan pangolin)
Lineage: Eukaryota; Metazoa; Chordata; Mammalia; Pholidota; Manidae
Source: RefSeq, a predicted model, not a curated record